GCCGACAUAGCUCAGCAGGUAGAGCAACUGAUUUGUAAUCAGAAGGUCACGGGUUCGAUUCCUGUUGUCGGCACCA
This 76-nucleotide transfer RNA is filed under the name Betaproteobacteria bacterium. Its description in RNAcentral is "tRNA-Thr". It matches the Rfam family "tRNA". From Rfam's summary of the family: Transfer RNA (tRNA) molecules are approximately 80 nucleotides in length. Their secondary structure includes four short double-helical elements and three loops (D, anti-codon, and T loops). The record is from RNAcentral. Lineage: Bacteria; Pseudomonadati; Pseudomonadota; Betaproteobacteria.